UCGGGAAUUUUGGGCAAUGGGCGAAAGCCUGACCCAGCAACGCCGCGUGAAGGAUGAAAUCCUUCGGGAUGUAAACUUCGCAAGAACGGGAAGAAUAAGCCGGUGUUAACACCAUCGGUGAUGACGGUACUGUUUGUAAGCUCCGGCUAACUCCGUGCCAGCAGCCGCGGUAAUACGGGGGGAGCAAGCGUUGUUCGGAUUUACUGGGCGUAAAGGGCGCGUAGGCGGCCACCGCAAGUCGGUUGUGAAAUCUCCGGGCUUAACCCGGAAAGGUCAAUCGAUACUGCGGGGCUAGAGUGCAGAAGGGGCAACUGGAAUUCUCGGUGUAGCGGUGAAAUGCGUAGAUAUCGAGAGGAACACCUGCGGCGAAGGCGGGUUGCUGGGCUGACACUGACGCUGAAGCGCGAAAGCUAGGGGAGCGAACGG
RNAcentral lists this ribosomal RNA (426 nucleotides) under uncultured bacterium. RNAcentral's name for it is "bacterial SSU rRNA". It matches the Rfam family "Bacterial small subunit ribosomal RNA", at positions 355 to 775 of the family's 1533-position model. The record is from RNAcentral.